This 440-nucleotide ribosomal RNA is filed under the name uncultured bacterium. RNAcentral's name for it is "partial 16S ribosomal RNA". It matches the Rfam family "Bacterial small subunit ribosomal RNA", at positions 338 to 795 of the family's 1533-position model. The record is from RNAcentral.
CCUACGGGUGGCAGCAGUAGGGAAUAUUGCUCAAUGGGGGAAACUCUGAAGCAGCAACGCCGCGUGCAGGAUGACGGUUUUAGGAUUGUUAACUCCUUUUGUUAGAGAAGUUUAUGACGGUAUCUAUCGCAUAAGCACCGGCUAACUCCGUUCCAGCAGCCGCGGUAAUACGGAGGGUGCAAGCGUUAUUCGGAUUCACUGGGCGUAAAGAGUGCGUAGGCGGGGUAAUAAGUCAGAUGUGAAAUCCUGUAGCUUAACUACAGCACUGCAUUUGAAACUGUUACUCUGGAGUGUGGGAGAGGUAGGUGGAAUGGUUGGUGUAGGGGUAAAAUCCGUAGAGACCAAGAAGAAUACCCAUUGCGAAGGCGACCUGCUAGAACAUUACUGACGCUGAGGCACGAAAGCGUGGGGAGCAAACAGGAUUAGAUACCCCUGUAGUC